GCCCCUUUAAAACUGUCACAUACAACUUACAAGUUCCAACUUGAAUUGUACUGUGUAAAUCAGGCACUCAAUUCGCCCACUUUGUCGUUGGUGAGUUGUGUGCUUGACUCGGUACACAUCUUUACACGCAUUUAUUCGGAAUUUAACCGGAAUUUAAUGGAACCGGAAUUUAAUGCCAUUGGCCCUGUAAUCUGUAUCCAUGUUUUUUAAUUGACCU
This is a non-coding RNA of Paramuricea clavata, 217 nucleotides long. The record is from the annotation of a GenBank genome assembly. Lineage: Eukaryota; Metazoa; Cnidaria; Anthozoa; Malacalcyonacea; Plexauridae.